AACAACCACAACAGCGGCUCCAACAACCACAACAGCAGCUCCAACAACCACAACAGCAGCUCCAACAACCACAACAGCAGUUCCAACAACCACAACUCCAGCUACAACAACCACCACGACAAUCAUCCUCCUGACUUCUCAACCUUGGCAUAUUUACAAGUCAGGAUGAUUUCCUAUGGUGAACUCAGCAAUAAAACCAUUUCGGGACUUCUUCAAGAGUUUUUCAGAAAACAGCUUCCAAAUGGAACAGCUCAUCUGCUCUCAUUGAAAAGAAUCCAAAGUGCAUUUUAAUGAUAUUUUGGGCGUUAUUGUUUAUCUAAAUUCACUUUACACUUUACUAAAUCCACAAACAUUGCUUACACAUUUACAUCAAAUAGGCAUGCAUGGAAACACACAACUUGAUCUAUAACUAUUGAAAUAUUUAGAAUUUAAUGUAAAUUCAACCAUUUAUCAAAUAGUCAAAUAGACAAAUCAAUGGUCUUGUACAAUCUUAAUUUUCUAAUAUUGUCACAGUAUAUUGUAAAUGAUUGUGAAUGUUUUUAAAUCAAUGGAACUGAAUUUAUCGUCUACUAUAAAGCCUUGCUAUGGGUGAACAUUGGUUCCA
Molecule: long non-coding RNA, 604 nt
Organism: Gadus morhua (Atlantic cod)
Lineage: Eukaryota; Metazoa; Chordata; Actinopteri; Gadiformes; Gadidae
Exons: 3
Source: RefSeq, a predicted model, not a curated record